This 62-nucleotide transfer RNA is filed under the name Dermestidae sp. GENSP01. RNAcentral describes it as "tRNA-Asp". Lineage: Eukaryota; Metazoa; Arthropoda; Insecta; Coleoptera; Dermestidae. The record is from RNAcentral.
GAAAACUUAGUUAAAUCAUAACAUUAGAUUGUCAAGCUAAAAUUAUUAAAAGAUAGUUUUCU